This 427-nucleotide ribosomal RNA is filed under the name uncultured bacterium. RNAcentral's name for it is "bacterial SSU rRNA". It matches the Rfam family "Bacterial small subunit ribosomal RNA", at positions 355 to 775 of the family's 1533-position model. The record is from RNAcentral.
UCGAGAAUUUUUCUCAAUGGGGGAAACCCUGAAGGAGCGACGCCGCGUGGGGGAUGAAGGACUUCGGUUCGUAAACCCCUGUCACCUGGGAACAAAAGUUGCAACCCAACACGUUGCAAUCUGAUAGUACCAGGAGAGGAAGGCACGGCUAACUCUGUGCCAGCAGCCGCGGUAAUACAGAGGUGCCAAGCGUUGUUCGGAUUUAUUGGGCGUAAAGGGUGCGUAGGCGGUCAUACAAGUCGGAUGUGAAAUACCGGAGCCUAACUCCGGAAUGGCAUUCGAAACUGUAAGGCUCGAGAUCUGCAGAGGUGAUUGGAAUUCUCGGUGUAGCAGUGAAAUGCGUAGAUAUCGAGAGGAACACCAGAGGCGAAAGCGAAUCACUGGACAGAAUCUGACGCUGAGGCACGAAAGCUAGGGGAGCAAACGG